Molecule: ribosomal RNA, 253 nt
Filed under: uncultured bacterium
Lineage: Bacteria
Description: partial 16S ribosomal RNA
Rfam family: Bacterial small subunit ribosomal RNA
Source: RNAcentral
UACGUAGGGCGCAAGCGUUAUCCGGAAUUAUUGGGCGUAAAGAGCUCGUAGGCGGUUUGUCGCGUCUGCCGUGAAAGUCCGGGGCUCAACUCCGGAUCUGCGGUGGGUACGGGCAGACUAGAGUGAUGUAGGGGAGACUGGAAUUCCUGGUGUAGCGGUGAAAUGCGCAGAUAUCAGGAGGAAUACCGGUGGCGAAGGCGGCAUCCUGGACCGGCAUUGACGCUGAGGAGCGAAAGCCAGGGGAGCAAACGGG